Molecule: ribosomal RNA, 508 nt
Filed under: uncultured Parachlamydia sp.
Lineage: Bacteria; Pseudomonadati; Chlamydiota; Chlamydiia; Parachlamydiales; Parachlamydiaceae
Description: bacterial SSU rRNA
Rfam family: Bacterial small subunit ribosomal RNA
Source: RNAcentral
GCCUUGCCAGCCCGCUCAGAACUCAAAGGAAUUGACGGGGGCCCCGCACAAGCGGUGGAGCAUGUGGUUUAAUUCGACGCAACGCGAAGAACCUUACCUGGGCUAGACAACGGUGGACCUCCCCAGAGAUGGGGAUUUCCCUUCGGGGACUGCCGGAUCAGGUGCUGCAUGGCUGUCGUCAGCUCGUGCCGUGAGGUGUUGGGUUAAGUCCCGCAACGAGCGCAACCCUUUAUCGUUAUUUGCCAACACGUAAUGGUGGGAACUCUAACGAGACUGCCUGGGUUAACCAGGAGGAAGGUGAGGAUGACGUCAAGUCCGCAUGGCCCUUAUGUCUGGGGCUACACACGUGCUACAAUGGUCGGUACAGAAGGCAGCGAAGCCGCGAGGUGGAGCAAAUCCCAAAAAGCCGAUCUCAGUUCAGAUUGUAGUCUGCAACUCGACUACAUGAAGACGGAAUUGCUAGUAAUGGCGAGUCAGCAACAUCGCCGUGAAUACGUUCCCGGGUCUU